GAUGAACGCUGGCGGCGUGCCUAACACAUGCAAGUCGAACGGAGUCGCUUUGGAAAUCUCUUCGGAGAUGGAAUUCUCGACUUAGUGGCGGACGGGUGAGUAACGCGUGAGCAAUCUGCCUUUAAGAGGGGGAUAACAGUCGGAAACGGCUGCUAAUACCGCAUAAAGCAUUAAAUUCGCAUGUUUUUGAUGCCAAAGGAGCAAUCCGCUUUUAGAUGAGCUCGCGUCUGAUUAGCUAGUUGGCGGGGUAACGGCCCACCAAGGCGACGAUCAGUAGCCGGACUGAGAGGUUGAACGGCCACAUUGGGACUGAGACACGGCCCAGACUCCUACGGGAGGCAGCAGUGGGGAAUAUUGCGCAAUGGGGGAAACCCUGACGCAGCAACGCCGCGUGAUUGAAGAAGGCCUUCGGGUUGUAAAGAUCUUUAAUCAGGGACGAAACAAAUGACGGUACCUGAAGAAUAAGCUCCGGCUAACUACGUG
RNAcentral lists this ribosomal RNA (483 nucleotides) under uncultured bacterium. RNAcentral describes it as "partial 16S ribosomal RNA". It matches the Rfam family "Bacterial small subunit ribosomal RNA", at positions 28 to 507 of the family's 1533-position model. The record is from RNAcentral.